RNAcentral lists this long non-coding RNA (357 nucleotides) under Ananas comosus (pineapple). RNAcentral's name for it is "long non-coding RNA (ACOM_LNC038893)". The record is from RNAcentral. Lineage: Eukaryota; Viridiplantae; Streptophyta; Magnoliopsida; Poales; Bromeliaceae.
UCCUUCUUGUGUUCUAGAGAGAGAAAGAGGGAUGAGAGGGGAUGAGAGGGGGAAAAAUGAGAGAAAAUCUCAUUAGGCCCCAUAACAUAGCUAUUGGGUUGCCAAAAUGCAAAUAAACCCCUCAACUUUCACCUAAAUACACUGCCCGAACUGGGCUGUUCGCGCAGGCGGGGACCGGUCUCUCCUUCAGGGACCGGUUCCCGAAGGUCCUCCCAGUGCAGCCAGAGCUGCCGCGCGCAGUGCAACCGGUCUCUCUUUGGGGGACCGGUCUCUCGGGGACCGGUCUCUCAGGUAGGGACCGGUUCCCGAGAGCUGGUUUCUCAGGACUUAGCCGAUUUUUCGGCUGUCUCAUUUCUC